GACGUAGGAUGCGAGCGUUGUUCGGAUUUAUUGGGCGUAAAGCGUACGCAGGCGGCUUGUUAAGUCUGGUGUUAAAGCUAGGGGCUCAACCCCUGUGUUGCACUGGAAACUGGCAGGCUUGAGUGUGGUAGGGGAAGGUGGAAUUCCGAGUGUAGCGGUGAAAUGCGUAGAUAUCUGGAGGAACACCGGUGGCGAAGGCGGCAUCCUGGACCGAUACUGACGCUGAGGAGCGAAAGCCAGGGGAGCAAACGGG
Molecule: ribosomal RNA, 253 nt
Filed under: uncultured bacterium
Lineage: Bacteria
Description: partial 16S ribosomal RNA
Rfam family: Bacterial small subunit ribosomal RNA
Source: RNAcentral